UUUUCUUGUUUCAUUUUUUUACUUUUUUUUUUUCAUUUUUUUAUUGUUUUUUGACCCAUAUUCAAUGAAGAAAUUUAUCAAAAUAAACACACAACAAUAGGGCUCUAUACAGUUCCAUUAAAAAAAAAUUCACUCAUUUCGUUUCUUUAUUAUUCACUUCUUCAUCCUCUUAUCUCAAAAUUGAAAAUGUAAAGUAUUACAAUAUCACUUGUCUCUCUCUUCACAUGUGUGUUAUGUGUGUGUGUUGUUUGACAUUUUUUUUAGGUAAGAUGAUUGGAUAUAUCACACCAUCUCCAGGAAAGU
RNAcentral lists this non-coding RNA (303 nucleotides) under Pteridomonas danica. Lineage: Eukaryota; Dictyochophyceae; Pedinellales. The record is from RNAcentral.